RNAcentral lists this ribosomal RNA (257 nucleotides) under uncultured bacterium. Its description in RNAcentral is "partial 16S ribosomal RNA". It matches the Rfam family "Bacterial small subunit ribosomal RNA", at positions 524 to 777 of the family's 1533-position model. The record is from RNAcentral.
UACGUAGGGGGCAAGCGUUGUCCGGAUUUAUUGGGCGUAAAGAGCGGUGUAGGCGGCCUGAAAGGUCAGCUGUGAAAACUCGAGGCUCAACCUCGAGACGUCGGUUGAAACCAUCUGGCUAGAGUCCGGAAGAGGAGUGUGGAAUUCCCGGUGAUAGCGGUGAAAUGCGCAGAUAUCGGGAAGAACACCCGUGGCGAAGGCGGCACUCUGGGACGGUACUGACGCUGAGGAGCGAAAGCGUGGGGAGCCGAACGAGG